This 69-nucleotide transfer RNA is filed under the name Neoniphon sammara (Sammara squirrelfish). Its description in RNAcentral is "tRNA-Asp". It matches the Rfam family "tRNA". From Rfam's summary of the family: Transfer RNA (tRNA) molecules are approximately 80 nucleotides in length. Their secondary structure includes four short double-helical elements and three loops (D, anti-codon, and T loops). RNAcentral also lists the same sequence under 1 other name. The record is from RNAcentral. Lineage: Eukaryota; Metazoa; Chordata; Actinopteri; Holocentriformes; Holocentridae.
AAGAUACUAGUAAAGAUAUUAUACCGCCUUGUCAAGGCGAAGUCGCGAGUUAGACUCUCGCGUAUCUUG